AGAGAUGUGUGAUGACGCAUAUCAAUAAGCGGAGGAAAAGAAACUAACAAGGAUUCCCUUAGUAACGGCGAGUGAAGCGGGAAGAGCUCAAAUUUGAAAUCUUCAAGGUUCUACCUUGACGAAUUGUAGUUUAUAGAAGUGUUUUCUGUUAGUGGAGUGGCAAAAGUUCUUUGGAAUAGGACAUCAUAGAGGGUGAGAAUCCCGUAUUUGGUCAUUCCUUCCUAGCGUUGUGAUACACUUUCAACGAGUCGGAUUGUUUGGGAAUGCAGUCCAAAAUGGGUGGUAAAUUUCAUCUAAAGCUAAAUAUUGGCGAGAGACCGAUAGCGAACAAGUACCGUGAGGGAAAGAUGAAAAGAACUUUGAAAAGAGAGUUAAACAGUACGUGAAAUUGUCAAAAGGGAAGCGUUUGACACCAGUGUUGUUUUUCCGAAAAUCAAUUACGAAUGUUUUGUUUUUAAGGAGUUAUGACUUCAUCGGCUUGCUCCUUUCUUUAUGAAACUUUCUUAAUGCACUUUUCGGUUAACAAGUCAACAUCAAUUUCUUUUGUUGUAAAAGGGUAUGAGGAAGGUGGCUUUCUUUUCGGAGAAAGUGUUUAUAGCCUUGUGCCUCUGCAAUCGGAGAGAUUGAGGUCUGCAGCGUAGAUCCUUCGGGGUUAGAUACGUUUGUGCUAAGUUAUAGCUUUUCAUAGACAACUUGUUGACUAUGUUUAGUCUUGUAGCUUACUCGCUGAUGCUAUUUUACCUACGCUUAGGAUGUUGAACUCUAUCACACACAG
RNAcentral lists this ribosomal RNA (775 nucleotides) under uncultured Neocallimastigales. RNAcentral describes it as "partial large subunit ribosomal RNA". It matches the Rfam family "Eukaryotic large subunit ribosomal RNA", at positions 23 to 621 of the family's 3401-position model. The record is from RNAcentral. Lineage: Eukaryota; Fungi; Neocallimastigomycota; Neocallimastigomycetes; Neocallimastigales.